AGGCAUUGUCGUUGUACUCAAAGGAGUCAACUUCCAAGGCAAAUAACCAUCAUGCCAGGCUUAGAAUAAUUUGAAUUAUUAAUUCCACAGUCAAAGAACAACCUUCAUGAUCUCUCCAAAUCGCAUUGGAAGAUGUAUUAUGAUAAAUCUGCAAAGAAAUAAUAUCAAGUUUCAACGGCUCCAUGUUCUCUCACUCAAAUGCUAAACAUCCCAGAUUCAAAAGAGUACAGGUGGUACUAAGAAACAGUACCAGCAAAAAUAAUCAUUUUUGGUCCAAUGAAAGGAGACUGGCACUAAUUGAUCGCUGCCAUUGUUUCCUAUCACAACAGUU
RNAcentral lists this long non-coding RNA (331 nucleotides) under Lotus japonicus. RNAcentral describes it as "long non-coding RNA (LJAP_LNC000807)". Lineage: Eukaryota; Viridiplantae; Streptophyta; Magnoliopsida; Fabales; Fabaceae. The record is from RNAcentral.